UGAGCAAUCUGCCCUUCUUUUUGGAAUAAGCGUUGGAAACGACGUCUAAUGCCGAAUACGACCUCCUUUCGCAUGAUCGGAGGUGGAAAGCUCCGGCGGAGAAGGAUGAGCUCGCGGCCUAUCAGCUAGUUGGUAUGGGUAACGGCCCACCAAGGCGACGACGGGUAGCCGGCCUGAGAGGGUGACCGGCCACACGUGGGACUGAGACACGGCCCAGACCUCCGUACGGGGAGCAG
RNAcentral lists this ribosomal RNA (236 nucleotides) under uncultured bacterium. RNAcentral's name for it is "partial 16S ribosomal RNA". It matches the Rfam family "Bacterial small subunit ribosomal RNA", at positions 118 to 351 of the family's 1533-position model. The record is from RNAcentral.